Molecule: ribosomal RNA, 454 nt
Filed under: soil isolate KBS-EC3
Lineage: Bacteria
Description: bacterial SSU rRNA
Rfam family: Bacterial small subunit ribosomal RNA
Source: RNAcentral
GAUGAACGCUGGCGGCGUGCUUAACACAUGCAAGUCGAACGAUGACCCGGUGCUUGCACCGGUGAUUAGUGGCGAACGGGUGAGUAACACGUGAGUAACCUGCCCUUAACUCUGGGAUAAGCCUGGGAAACUGGGUCUAAUACCGGAUAUGACUCCUCAUCGCAUGGUGGGGGGUGGAAAGCUUUAUUGUGGUUUUGGAUGGACUCGCGGCCUAUCAGCUUGUUGGUGAGGUAAUGGCUCACCAAGGCGACGACGGGUAGCCGGCCUGAGAGGGUGACCGGCCACACUGGGACUGAGACACGGCCCAGACUCCUACGGGAGGCAGCAGUGGGGAAUAUUGCACAAUGGGCGCAAGCCUGAUGCAGCGACGCCGCGUGAGGGAUGACGGCCUUCGGGUUGUAAACCUCUUUCAGUAGGGAAGAAGCGAAAGUGACGGUACCUGCAGAAGAAGCUC